GAGUUUGAACCUGGCUCAGGAUGAACGCUGGCGGCGUGCCUAAUACAUGCAAGUCGAGCGAACAGAUAAGGAGCUUGCUCCUUUGAAGUUAGCGGCGGACGGGUGAGUAACACGUGGGUAACCUACCUAUAAGACUGGGAUAACUUCGGGAAACCGGAGCUAAUACCGGAUAACAUUUAGAACCGCAUGGUUCUAAAGUGAAAGAUGGUUUUGCUAUCACUUAUAGAUGGACCCGCGCCGUAUUAGCUAGUUGGUAAGGUAACGGCUUACCAAGACGACGAUACGCAGCCGACCUGAGAGGGUGAUCGGCCACACUGGAACUGAGACACGGUCCAGACUCCUACGGGAGGCAGCAGUAGGGAAUCUUCCGCAAUGGGCGAAAGCCUGACGGAGCAACGCCGCGUGAGUGAUGAAGGGUUUCGGCUCGUAAAACUCUGUUAUUAGGGAAGAACAAAUGUGUAAGUAACUGUGCACAUCUUGACGGUACCUAAUCAGAAAGCCACGGCUAACUACGUGCCAGCAGCCGCGGUAAUACGUAGGUGGCAAGCGUUAUCCGGAAUUAUUGGGCGUAAAGCGCGCGUAGGCGGUUUCUUAAGUCUGAUGUGAAAGCCCACGGCUCAACCGUGGAGGGUCAUUGGAAACUGGGAAACUUGAGUGCAGAAGAGGAAAGUGGAAUUCCAUGUGUAGCGGUGAAAUGCGCAGAGAUAUGGAGGAACACCAGUGGCGAAAGCGACUUU
Molecule: ribosomal RNA, 737 nt
Filed under: uncultured bacterium
Lineage: Bacteria
Description: bacterial SSU rRNA
Rfam family: Bacterial small subunit ribosomal RNA
Source: RNAcentral